RNAcentral lists this small RNA (439 nucleotides) under Arabidopsis thaliana (thale cress). RNAcentral describes it as "ATSL092310". The record is from RNAcentral. Lineage: Eukaryota; Viridiplantae; Streptophyta; Magnoliopsida; Brassicales; Brassicaceae.
GAUUAUCGCUUAAUCGUUCUCAUUGCCUGUUUCUUAGUUUUUACAAUCACUCGACCACACCCAGUGUCUGGUAACAGACUGUGCAGUCGAGUACAAUUGUCUCAUUUCCUGUCUGUUACUCGACCAGUAUACUCGACCACACCCAGUGUCUGGCAACAGACUGUGCAGUUGAGUAUAUCUGUUUCAUAUCCUACCUGUUACUCGACCACAUCCCACUUCUGGCAUCAGCCUGUUGUGGUCGAGUGAUUUUAGUAAUUCUGUUAUUGUUUCUGUUUUCUGCAUUUUCACUUAAGACUAUUAGAACCCCCAAAACUGUUAUUCCUUGGGUUGACUUCUGAUCACAUCUCAUCUUUUUGCAUCACACUCAUUUGGAUUGACACCUAAAAUACUACAAUGACAUGAUAUGUGUUUUAGGAUAAUUGACUAAAAAACUAUUAUC